AUCCGGGUUGCGGACAGUGUCUGGUGGGUAGUUUGACUGGGGCGGUCUCCUCCUAAAGAGUAACGGAGGAGCACGAAGGUUGGCUAAUCCUGGUCGGACAUCAGGAGGUUAGUGCAAUGGCAUAAGCCAGCUUGACUGCGAGCGUGACGGCGCGAGCAGGUGCGAAAGCAGGUCAUAGUGAUCCGGUGGUUCUGAAUGGAAGGGCCAUCGCUCAACGGAUAAAAGGUACUCCGGGGAUAACAGGCUGAUACCGCCCAAGAGUUCAUAUCGACGGCGGUGUUUGGCACCUCGAUGUCGGCUCAUCACAUCCUGGGGCUGAAGUAGGUCCCAAGGGUAUGGCUGUUCGCCAUUUAAAGUGGUACGCGAGCUGGGUUUAGAACGUCGUGAGACAGU
This 393-nucleotide ribosomal RNA is filed under the name Salmonella enterica subsp. enterica serovar Typhimurium. RNAcentral's name for it is "partial 23S ribosomal RNA". It matches the Rfam family "Bacterial large subunit ribosomal RNA", at positions 2238 to 2630 of the family's 2925-position model. The record is from RNAcentral. Lineage: Bacteria; Pseudomonadati; Pseudomonadota; Gammaproteobacteria; Enterobacterales; Enterobacteriaceae.